AUCUUCAUGGUGUAGUGGUCAGCACGCUCAAUGUGUAUUUGAGAGGUCCGUGGUUCGAGUCCUAGUGAGGGCA
This 73-nucleotide transfer RNA is filed under the name Stegodyphus mimosarum. It matches the Rfam family "tRNA". From Rfam's summary of the family: Transfer RNA (tRNA) molecules are approximately 80 nucleotides in length. Their secondary structure includes four short double-helical elements and three loops (D, anti-codon, and T loops). Lineage: Eukaryota; Metazoa; Arthropoda; Arachnida; Araneae; Eresidae. The record is from Rfam by way of RNAcentral.